CCUACGGGAGACAGCAGUGAGGAAUAUUGGUCAAUGGGCGCGAGCCUGAACCAGCCAAGUCGCGUGAGGGAUGACGGUCCUACGGAUUGUAAACCUCUUUUGCCGGGGAGCAAGCGUGCGUUCGUGAACGCGCGUCGAGAGUACCCGGAGAAAAAGCAUCGGCUAACUCCGUGCCAGCAGCCGCGGUAAUACGGAGGGUGCGAGCGUUAAUCGGAAUUACUGGGCGUAAAGCGCUCGUAGGCGGUAUGUCAAGUCAAGGGUGAAAUCCCCGCGCUCAACGUGGGAACUGCCUUUGAAACUGGCAAACUGGAGUGUGUGAGAGGAUAGUGGAAUUCGAGGUGUAGGAGUGAAAUCCGUAGAUAUCUGGAGGAACAUCAGUGGCGAAGGCGACUAUCUGGCACAUAACUGACGCUGAGGCACGAAGGCCAGGGGAGCGAAAGGGAUUAGAUACCCUGGUAGUC
RNAcentral lists this ribosomal RNA (461 nucleotides) under uncultured bacterium. RNAcentral describes it as "partial 16S ribosomal RNA". It matches the Rfam family "Bacterial small subunit ribosomal RNA", at positions 338 to 795 of the family's 1533-position model. The record is from RNAcentral.